Molecule: transfer RNA, 61 nt
Filed under: Agrilus planipennis (emerald ash borer)
Lineage: Eukaryota; Metazoa; Arthropoda; Insecta; Coleoptera; Buprestidae
Rfam family: tRNA
About the family: Transfer RNA (tRNA) molecules are approximately 80 nucleotides in length.
Source: Rfam by way of RNAcentral
CGUAGCAGAGUGGUCAGAGCAUUGGUGUGUAAAGCCAAUGUCCCGGGUUCGAUUCCCGGCG